AGCAGCGUAGCUCAGCGGAAAGAGCCCGGGCUUGGGAGUCAGAUGUCAUGGGUUCGAAUCCCAGCUCUGCCA
This is a non-coding RNA of Ornithorhynchus anatinus (platypus), 72 nucleotides long. The record is from Rfam. NCBI's taxonomy places the organism in Eukaryota, Metazoa, Chordata, Mammalia, Monotremata, Ornithorhynchidae.